Molecule: small nuclear RNA, 103 nt
Organism: Cervus hanglu yarkandensis (Yarkand deer)
Lineage: Eukaryota; Metazoa; Chordata; Mammalia; Artiodactyla; Cervidae
Source: Ensembl
UUGCUUCAGCUGCACAGACACUAACACUGGAAUGAUGCAGAGAUGAUUAGCAUGGCCCCUGUGCAAGGACGACACGCAAGUUUGUGAAGCCCUCCAUCUCUGG